CCUACGGGAGGCAGCAGUGAGGAAUAUUGGUCAAUGGGCGUAAGCCUGAACCAGCCAAGUCGCGUGAGGGAUGAAGGUUCUAUGGAUCGUAAACCUCUUUUAUAAGGGAAUAAAGUGUGGGACGUGUCCUGUUUUGUAUGUACCUUAUGAAUAAGGAUCGGCUAACUCCGUGCCAGCAGCCGCGGUAAUACGGAGGAUCCGAGCGUUAUCCGGAUUUAUUGGGUUUAAAGGGUGCGUAGGCGGCCUUUUAAGUCAGCGGUGAAAGUCUGUGGCUCAACCAUAGAAUUGCCGUUGAAACUGGGAGGCUUGAGUGUGUUUGAGGCAGGCGGAAUGCGUGGUGUAGCGGUGAAAUGCUUAGAUAUCACGCAGAACCCCGAUUGCGAAGGCAGCCUGCCAGGCCAUGACUGACGCUGAUGCACGAAAGCGUGGGGAUCAAACAGGAUUAGAUACCCGGGUAGUC
This 460-nucleotide ribosomal RNA is filed under the name uncultured bacterium. RNAcentral describes it as "partial 16S ribosomal RNA". It matches the Rfam family "Bacterial small subunit ribosomal RNA", at positions 338 to 795 of the family's 1533-position model. The record is from RNAcentral.